Long non-coding RNA from Passer montanus (Eurasian tree sparrow), 329 nucleotides. RefSeq lists it as uncharacterized. Lineage: Eukaryota; Metazoa; Chordata; Aves; Passeriformes; Passeridae. The transcript is spliced from 3 exons. The record is from RefSeq and is a predicted model, not a curated record.
UUAGAGAGAUGAUUACUUUUGCUGCCUGAUGAAACAGGAGGGAAAAAAUCGUCCUUAGUGUUUGAAGGGAGAAGGGUGACUGCAGAUAAGCCAGGUGUGUGUUCUGUGCUUCAGCUUUCCAAUUGGCCAUGCAGAUGAUAAACCUGACCUCUGUAGAAACCACUGUAAGAGACUGAUGAGCAGUGCUGUAGAGAAGCUAAGGUGGUAUUGCUGCUACACAUCACAGUGCUCAUACCAACGGAGGACAGCCUGCAAAAAUGGCACCAGGGCUGUGCUUCAGAGGCUUGUUUACAUUGGAACCUGCUGUAGGUUACAUCAGUAGUCAGAGC